This is a long non-coding RNA of Hyla sarda, 424 nucleotides long. RefSeq lists it as uncharacterized. The transcript is spliced from 3 exons. The record is from RefSeq and is a predicted model, not a curated record. Lineage: Eukaryota; Metazoa; Chordata; Amphibia; Anura; Hylidae.
CCGGAUUCCCUGAAGUGUCUGGAAUGUCACGUGACGUGAUUUCCCCGGUCAUGUGACUCACUGGAAAGAAGAUCAGGGCUCCAUACAUCACGCUGCCCUCAGCUGGUCAUUGCGGCCGGUGAUUAGCUGAGCUGCACUGUUUUUUGUGCAGCAAGAGAAGCAGGAAGAAGAUCACAGCGGGGGACAGAACAGUGAUACAGUGAAGUGGUGGGAGAUCUGGAUCAUCUUGGAUGAAAUGUCAAUGUUUUUUGAUUGAGUGUUUCGAACAUAUUGCCAUAUUUGAAGGAGAAACAAAUCUUUUAGGGUGUUCCUGUGUGGGGUGCACCUGAUGUUUGUACAAUAGAGAUGUGCGAGAUUUUUCGCUGAUGCGUCUCAUGGCUUUUCCAAUGUUAACCUUAACCUCGAUUAAGAUUAAAAAAGCUGC